AACGAACGCUGGCGGCAUGCCUAACACAUGCAAGUCGAACGAGAUCUUCGGGUCUAGUGGCGCACGGGUGCGUAACGCGUGGGAAUCUGCCCUUUGGUUCGGAAUAACAGUUGGAAACGACUGCUAAUACCGGAUGAUGACGAAAGUCCAAAGAUUUGUCGCCAGAGGAUGGGCCCGCGUAGGAUUAGCUAGUUGGUGUGGUAAAGGCGCACCAAGGCGACGAUCCUUAGCUGGUCUGAGAGGAUGAUCAGCCACACUGGGACUGAUACACGGCCCAGACUCCUGCGGGAGGCAGCAGUGGGGAAUAUUGGACAAUGUGCGAAAGCCUGAUCCAGCAAUGCCGCGUGAGUGAUGAAGGCCUUAGGGUUGUAAAGCUCUUUUACCCGGGAUGAUAAUGACAGGACCGGGAGAAUAAGCUCCGGCUGACUCCGUGCCAGCCGCCGCGGUAA
RNAcentral lists this ribosomal RNA (449 nucleotides) under uncultured bacterium. Its description in RNAcentral is "partial 16S ribosomal RNA". It matches the Rfam family "Bacterial small subunit ribosomal RNA", at positions 29 to 523 of the family's 1533-position model. The record is from RNAcentral.